UUCCGUGGCCCCCGGGACAUCCAGCCUGAAGGACAGUGGGGCAGGAAUUUUUCCGGGGCAAGACGCUUCAGCCUGCAAGGCUGACCGCUCCCGAGCCGCUCGCAGGCCCGCAGUUGGGAGGAGAGCAGUCCAGACUACAGAAAGAGCACGGACAGAGGCGUGGAGAGGAGGCAGUCAGCAAGUUCUUGUAACCGGCCCAUUUGGAAUUAGAGACCAUCCUGAUCCUCACCAAUCCCCACAGGAGUCUCCACUCCUCUAGUGGGAAUCCAGAGACUGGAGCCCAGCCUAUUCCAAAAUCCCACCACUGCCAGCCUGCAAUUCCAUUUGCCACUCCUCUGAAUGAAAGCACUGUUGUCUCCUGAAGGUCCCAGAGGGACACAAUAAAUGGAGAAGGUA
This 396-nucleotide long non-coding RNA is filed under the name Homo sapiens (human). RNAcentral describes it as "non-protein coding LINC00866:2". Lineage: Eukaryota; Metazoa; Chordata; Mammalia; Primates; Hominidae. The record is from RNAcentral.